This 723-nucleotide ribosomal RNA is filed under the name Candida tropicalis. Its description in RNAcentral is "eukaryotic LSU rRNA". The stretch from base 376 to 529 matches the Rfam family "5.8S ribosomal RNA". Lineage: Eukaryota; Fungi; Ascomycota; Pichiomycetes; Serinales; Debaryomycetaceae. The record is from RNAcentral.
UUCCAAGGCCAUUGCUUCAAGAUGCACGAUCCAUAUUACUAUCGCAUUGCGCGUUCAUCGAUGCAACAGAGAUCCGGAAGUUUGAUCUAUUAAUAAUAAAUCAAGUGGCGUAAUAAAAAGUUUGUUAGUUAUAACCUCUGGCGGUAGAUUGCUCCCGCCACAAAAAUUUGUAAUAAAAACACAGUGGCAAUUAAGCAAAUCAGUAAGCUUCCGUAGGUGAACUGCGGAAGGAUCAUUACUGAUUUGUUAAUUCRCCACMUGUGUUUUUUAUUGAACAAAUUUCUUUGGUGGCGGGAGCAAUCCUACCGCCAGAGGUUAUAACUAAACCAAACUUUUUAUUUACAGUCAAACUUGAUUUAUUAUUACAAUAGUCAAAACUUUCAACAACGGAUCUCUUGGUUCUCGCAUCGAUGAAGAACGCAGCGAAAUGCGAUACGUAAUAUGAAUUGCAGAUAUUCGUGAAUCAUCGAAUCUUUGAACGCACAUUGCGCCCUUUGGUAUUCCAAAGGGCAUGCCUGUUUGAGCGUCAUUUCUCCCUCAAACCCCCGGGUUUGGUGUUGAGCAAUACGCUAGGUUUGUUUGAAAGAAUUUAACGUGGAAACUUAUUUUAAGCGACUUAGGUUUAUCCAAAACGCUUAUUUUGCUAGUGGCCACCACAAUUUAUUUCAUAACUUUGACCUCAAAUCAGGRGACUACCCGCUGAACUUAACAUAUAUAGGAGAA